RNAcentral lists this ribosomal RNA (439 nucleotides) under Klebsiella pneumoniae. RNAcentral describes it as "partial 23S ribosomal RNA". It matches the Rfam family "Bacterial large subunit ribosomal RNA", at positions 2301 to 2739 of the family's 2925-position model. The record is from RNAcentral. Lineage: Bacteria; Pseudomonadati; Pseudomonadota; Gammaproteobacteria; Enterobacterales; Enterobacteriaceae.
CGGAGGAGCACGAAGGUUAGCUAAUCCUGGUCGGACAUCAGGAGGUUAGUGCAAUGGCAUAAGCUAGCUUGACUGCGAGCGUGACGGCGCGAGCAGGUGCGAAAGCAGGUCAUAGUGAUCCGGUGGUUCUGAAUGGAAGGGCCAUCGCUCAACGGAUAAAAGGUACUCCGGGGAUAACAGGCUGAUACCGCCCAAGAGUUCAUAUCGACGGCGGUGUUUGGCACCUCGAUGUCGGCUCAUCACAUCCUGGGGCUGAAGUAGGUCCCAAGGGUAUGGCUGUUCGCCAUUUAAAGUGGUACGCGAGCUGGGUUUAGAACGUCGUGAGACAGUUCGGUCCCUAUCUGCCGUGGGCGCUGGAGAAUUGAGGGGGGCUGCUCCUAGUACGAGAGGACCGGAGUGGACGCAUCACUGGUGUUCGGGUUGUCAUGCCAAUGGCACU